AUGAUGAGGAACCGGAUGUUGAUCCAUAUGUACAACAGACAUCAACGGGAAGCACUCCAUCACGCCGUGCUCCAAAAAGGAAGAGACGAGUUUCACCUGAGGAGGAAAAAGAAGAAGAAGAUGAGGAGGAGGAGGAGGAAGAGGAGGAGGAGGACAAAGAAAAAGAGGACAAAGGAGAUGAGGAGGGCAAGGAAGAAGAUACAAUUGAUGGUGGUGAGGGGGAAGGAGAUGACAAGGAAGAAGACGAGGAUGCCAAUCCUGAUGAUCAAGAGGGAUCCAAGGGAGGUAGUGACAACUCCGACGAUGAUGAUGAAAAUGCCCCUGGUUCUAGUGGUACAGGCGGCAACACAACCAGGGUGA
Molecule: ribosomal RNA, 360 nt
Filed under: Triticum aestivum (bread wheat)
Lineage: Eukaryota; Viridiplantae; Streptophyta; Magnoliopsida; Poales; Poaceae
Description: partial small subunit ribosomal RNA
Source: RNAcentral